ACCUGACUGGCUCAGUUGGUAGAGCACGUGACUCCUGAUCCUGGGGUUGUAAGUUUGAGCCCCACAUCGGGUA
Molecule: transfer RNA, 73 nt
Filed under: Canis lupus familiaris (dog)
Lineage: Eukaryota; Metazoa; Chordata; Mammalia; Carnivora; Canidae
Also listed under: 1 other name
Rfam family: tRNA
About the family: Transfer RNA (tRNA) molecules are approximately 80 nucleotides in length. Their secondary structure includes four short double-helical elements and three loops (D, anti-codon, and T loops).
Source: Rfam by way of RNAcentral